CUUUUCAGCUUUUUCCUACGUACUUUGACGGGCUAUUCUGCCUUUCUUCUUUCGCCAUUUGGCACUAACUUCAUUACCCUUUUCACGUUUUGCUUCCCAGGAAGUGGAUCAGCAUUGUCAAAUAAUUGGCUCACCAGGCUUCCAAACAAGUGCCUUUACAUGCUAGUGCUUCUAUCUUUUAAGGAGGCUUAAACUGCAUAAAAAUGGAGCUUGGAAAAUCAAUAGAAGAUCAAUUCUCCAAGCUGCAUCCAAGCCUAGCAGUGGACACAAGAAUUGGAAUAGUAGGAGCAGGUCCAAGUGGC
Molecule: long non-coding RNA, 302 nt
Organism: Pistacia vera
Lineage: Eukaryota; Viridiplantae; Streptophyta; Magnoliopsida; Sapindales; Anacardiaceae
Exons: 3
Source: RefSeq, a predicted model, not a curated record